Long non-coding RNA from Myodes glareolus (Bank vole), 850 nucleotides. RefSeq lists it as uncharacterized. The record is from RefSeq and is a predicted model, not a curated record. Lineage: Eukaryota; Metazoa; Chordata; Mammalia; Rodentia; Cricetidae.
AGCCCAUGAGCUCACACUUUUCCUGCCUCCCCAGGAACCCUAACUCACAGCUGCCUCACCCAAUUCCUCAGACUCCAAGUUAUGUUCUUUUAACUUCAACAGUUUGUGGGCACCAACCGAUAAAGUAACCAGUCCCACCAGAGGGCCGGAGGGACACCGGAGCAGGUCUAGCCAUGAAUGAGUUGAACAAGAGAAAACUGCAAUGGCAUCCAGCCAAAAGCUAUGAACAUACAGGUCAGUUGGAAGAAUGGCGAAUGCGUCGGAGAAACUGUUGCGUUCCUCUUGUUGCUGAGGCCGUGGUACUGCACAAACACCCUGGCCCUGCGGUUCAUCUGGGCCUGGUGACAGAGCAGGAUUCCUGCAUGCACGGGAAACCUUACAGGAAGUGAGAAGACCCAAGGAGCCGUUGGCUGUCACCAGAUUCUACUUCUGUGUCUCUGUGACUAUAUAACUGCUGGCGAAGAGUCCAAGAAUAUAGAAAUGUAGUUUCCAGAGAUAGGAACGUAGAAAUAAAGAAAUAUAAAGUUGGAAACCUGGGAGAAUGAGAGCGGGCUGUCAGCAGCUUAAGGAUUAACUAUUAACAGUGGGUCACUCCGCUUUAUAACCCAUAGCUCUGUCUGCAAGGCUGAAGCGGCCCUCUGCAAACUGAGGGUCAGCUUUUAGAUAACCCCUGACUACUCAUGUCCAGCAACUGAUGUGAGCUGAGUUAACUUUAAAUGAUGGGGUGUACCUGGCUUUUUGGUUGUGCAUUUUCUCAUACCCUUUCCUGCUAGGCAAAGCUGGCAGUAUCAGGGGAGGGUAGAGCUUUGGUAACACCAUCAGGAAGUGCCAGAGAGAAACAAUGGACUAA